CGCUUCAACACGUUAUUUUCACUUUCUCACUUUUGUUUAUCAACUUGAUUACGAGUUUGCGAUGGUUAUAUACCUUUGAGUUCCUCGUUUUGGGCGGUAAAAUGGUCACAGAUAUACCAAACCAUGCUGUAAUAUAACUAAAGUGGCGUGUAGCCAUAAAACGAGAAGAUCCUACGACGAAACGGUUACAUGGCGUCCCUGGAUACAGCUAAAGAUCACACUUUUGUUGUUUGCCACUACUAUUUCCAAGAGUCUGACUAAGGGGUCAGAGUCAGAAUUCAGAAUUUCCAAUACUAAACACAGCAAGUGAUGGAAGACAAUUUGAAGAGACUCCACAUUGUUAAAAGCAACUGUGGGAAAAAUAAGCAAGUACCAAGCACCUCGUCUGUAAUGGAGAUGACAUGUAGUAAUCAAAUCCA
Long non-coding RNA from Saccostrea echinata, 419 nucleotides. RefSeq lists it as uncharacterized. The record is from RefSeq and is a predicted model, not a curated record. The transcript is spliced from 3 exons. Lineage: Eukaryota; Metazoa; Mollusca; Bivalvia; Ostreida; Ostreidae.